Molecule: long non-coding RNA, 3177 nt
Filed under: Bos indicus x Bos taurus (hybrid cattle)
Lineage: Eukaryota; Metazoa; Chordata; Mammalia; Artiodactyla; Bovidae
Description: lncRNA (ENSBIXG00005011076.1)
Source: RNAcentral
AUGAAUAUAAUCCAUCUGAGACAGCGCUUAACUCCAGAAAAAGUGUUGGUGAAAAAUACAUCCUUUGGUGGGCCAGGGUCUCCAUCCAAAGUCUUGAUGUCAAGUCCUUCCACAGGCUUCAGGUCACUGUCACUCUGUUAAAUGGCCAUGGAUCUUCUGAGGGAAGGUUUGGAGGAAGAUUUGCAGUGUAUCUUUGUGUCCACCUUCCAGAGUGAUUCCUUUAAAACAACAAAACCAAACAAACAAACAAAAAAACUUGGCUCUAUCUGAAAAGGCUCUGGGUUUGUGAACUGGGUAAGAGGCCAUGAAUUCCCAAUAUAGUGCUUUUAUUUGGGCUCUGAUAACAUAGACUGAAUAAUAUUUUAGAAGGUUGACAAUCUGUUUCAUUCCUAAAAUUCUCUCACACACGAAAUUAACCGCAACCAUGUAUCCAUGUAGUCAAAAGACUUGUAUUGCCGAUCUUUGUGUGUGGUUUGUUGCAGUAGUGGUGACAACAUCACCCCUGAAACUGGGCACUGCCACCUGGCCUCUACCACUCUAAGACCCCAUCGUUCUUAUUGAGAGUAGGGAGCCCGGUUCUUCAAUAGCAUCUCUAGCCACAGAAGGCAGCCAUGGCAGAACUUUUGGGGGAUACUGGUACUCACCACCAAGUAUUCCUUUCUGCUUUAGGGAAGAAAGUGUCCUUUGGUCCUUCCUGGAGGUUAUGGUAAGAGUGGCUGAAUAGUUUACAGAUAAUAGGUCCACUCCAGCGUCCCCAUCUCCCUAAGCCUUUAAUUUCUUUCCUCUUUGUUGCAGAGAAGUCCCAACAUCUCACCUCAUUACUGAAGGUCACCAUUGAGUUCAGGCUUUAAGCAAACUAAUUAGAGCUUCAGCUGAUAUGAUGUAUCUAGAAUCUUAGAUAAGCUUUCCCAUACUGAUAAAUUCUUCUUGAACCAACUUGAUAUUUUUAGUUCCUUGAUUUAAUUCCUUGAGAGUCUAUUUAUAAACAUGCUUUCUCCACUCCCAUUUCUUGACUAUAAAAAUUGACAAGUUCCCAUCCACCCUUUCAUGCUCAAGCUAUCUUAUCUUUAAGAGAACUUUUCAAUUCUCCAUCUAGGCAUGGAAGCAAUGAUUGAUGGUGGGGAUUAGCCUUGACAGUAGGGAAAAUGUCUUCUCAAGGUAAUCAUUCCAGAUGAAGUCAUUGAAAGUGAUUUUUUUUUUUUUUUUUAGUUUGGAAAGACUGUAUUAACUGGCAAGAAUGAUUAGAAGAAUUUGAGAAUUCAAGUUAAGGGCCUCAUUUCAAGUCUCAGGGUUCCCUCUGUUUUCAACCAAUGUUUUAUUACAACAAAUCUCUUAGAUAGCAGUUAUAACCCUGGAUACAAAGAAGUGGGAUCCUGAGACUUGAGAUGGGGUGCUAACCUUAAUUUAAAUUUGGACUUCCAAAACCCCCCUGAAUAUUUCAUUGGUAUCUGCAACUCAUAUCACCUUGUCAUGCUUCUGAUCAUCAGCUAUGUCUGUGGUACAUAGACUCAAGGUAAGAGAUUCAUUUAAAGCUAACUAGAACCUUUCUGGUUCUCUAUCACGCCUUGAGUUGAAAAUUCAAGGUAUUUAGCUUAUAUUUUUGUUUUUGCAAUCUCUCCAGCAGCCUACAAUCUUUAUCACCAUAAUUUUCAAAUGAAACAGAUACAAUAGAUACUUAGUCUUCCAAAACCUUGUCGUCUUCUCUUUACCCUCCCCUGUCCUCCCACCUGAGUAGGCAAGUCAUCUGUGUGUUAUCAGAUAUGUGUGGAGUCAAUAGUAGAAUUUCAAUUUCAGGGGCUGUUUCUUGAAACUACUCCUGGAACCAAUUACUGUAUCAGCCAGGGGCCCAGUGAGAGUCAGAAGACACAAUGAUGGGACUGUGAGGAGAGUUUAAUGAAAGUCCUUGCUAGAGACAUGUGGGACUGGGGAGGAUAACAAACAGGAGCAACAGUGGAGAGGUGUUCCCAUCCCUAAGCCUGAGGAGCAGAGCACACAGUGAAGCCCUGUAAGGGAUGGAGCCUCAAGGAGAGGCCGCCUGGCCAGAGCUGUGUUCAGAAGGCGUGCGUCUACUGUGAGAAUCCUAGCACUGACUCCAGGCACGAGUGAGAAGAACCCUGCCCUCUUCCUCUUCCUCUUUUUUUGAUUUCCUGCUGGACUGCCACUAGGCCAGGUGAUAUGGUGGGCCAGCCCACUAUAGGCAUACACAGAGCAGAGCAGAACAUGGGUCUAGCUAGUGGAGACUGGAGAAUGGCUGAAUGGAGAAUAAUCACAGUAUGAUGGUGGCAGUAUGGUGGCUGUGGGAGUUGGCUGUGCAAUCGUGGUGAAUUCAAGAAGCAUCUCCAACUCUAUUCAGAAGUACUAUUCCCUUUGGUAGAAGCUGUAUUUUUUCAGGCUCCUUGUGCCAACAUAACAAUCCCUUUUCAUACCACAUCCCACCCCCAACCCCCCAUCCCCCAGUUGUCAGAAAUUCUUUCCUACAGGCCUCAUAGUCCCCAGGCAAAUCAGGAAAUAUGGCUAGAACUCUUUAAGUGUCCUUAAGAAUUCCCAGUUAUGGUGACUGUAUGUGGUUGUGGCACGUGAGAGCCUCCAGAGAGAUCGUUGCCUAGCGCAUCUUAGUCUGAGCCAAGAUAACUUGUUAGAGUAGUGAAGUAAAAGAAAAUUAAGGUGAGCAUUACUUGGAAGCAAGAUUAAUUUAUAAUGUGAUGUGGCAGCAGAAAAGCUGAAUGUUUUUUUUUGAAGAACUACAUGAAGAAUAAUCACAGUCCUGACUGUUUCUUCCCACACAAUUCAGUUAUAAUGCUUCAGACAUCACAUCUGAUUUGAAAUGUCUGAGUUACAUUAAGUUGCAGACAUUUGGUGGAAGAAAGGGUGGUGGAAAGGGAAAAUGUACAAUUAAGUAAAAGAAAAAAGCCUUACUAGCCAAAAAUAUUUUCCUCUCCUCCCAAAACCCAAAGUGAAAUAGAUUAAUUGGCUUGACUCUAUAGGUGGAAAAUUAAGUUUUACCUUAACAAUCAUAAUAAGUAUAAUGUAAUUAAGACAUAUUUCAUAGAGACUAUAUAUAGGGAAUGUGUACCUUGAGCAUGAGAAACCUGGCUAGAAAUGAUCACUCCUAUAUCAGUAGCAUAAUUUUUUCUUGAGAAAAAUAAAUCAGUCAUACACAGAAGUGAGGCGGAGGUG